AACAGACGUAAUUAAGUAUCGCCAGCGUAAACGUACUCAACGGACACAACCUGCUGUGAACAGGACCUACAAACACCCCAAAGGCUCUUUUCAGAGCCAUUUGACCAAGCAUCUUUGUACAUGCCGGUUUUCCUUCAGUAGUGCCAGUUUUCCUAAGAUUUUACCUCGUCCUCCACUGCCUCCAGUAAUUCCUGGUUUUAAGGUGGAGUAAUGGAGUAAAGAUGCAACGGAGCAGCUGAUAAGAAAACAUGCUUAAGACCAUCUUAAACGUGCACCAUCAAGAAAGGGAGGGGUACACAAUAAACAUUUUUUUUAACAUUACUUUUUGAAUAGAUGCACUUUUUAAAUUUUUUUUUAAAGUAUAUAUAUUGUUUAUUUAUGUUGUUUUUAAAUGUUAUAAUUGUAUUGUUUUUAUUUGUUGUAUUUAGCUUUUAUGCAUUUGUACACACACAAACACACAACCACAUUUAUACAAAAUAAGUUUUGAAUAAAUACGUUUAAUGGAG
This is a long non-coding RNA of Paramisgurnus dabryanus, 506 nucleotides long. RefSeq lists it as uncharacterized. NCBI's taxonomy places the organism in Eukaryota, Metazoa, Chordata, Actinopteri, Cypriniformes, Cobitidae. The record is from RefSeq and is a predicted model, not a curated record.